Nerophis ophidion (straightnose pipefish) is the source of this 457-nucleotide long non-coding RNA. RefSeq lists it as uncharacterized. NCBI's taxonomy places the organism in Eukaryota, Metazoa, Chordata, Actinopteri, Syngnathiformes, Syngnathidae. The record is from RefSeq and is a predicted model, not a curated record. The transcript is spliced from 3 exons.
AGGGUUCACAGCGCUUCACUUCUCCCACAUUUCCUUAUUUUACAGCCUUAUUCCAAAAUGGAAAUAUUUCAUUUUUUUCCUCAAAUUUCUUCAUGUUGUUGUUGACGAAUCCCAAGAUGCAGAGAAGGCGGCAGGCAUUUUUCAGUCAUAGAAUUACAAGUUCCAAGAGGUGAAAUCAAAGCUUUCGAAGGGCGUAGGAACUUACACGACCUGCACUCCUUGGAUCAUGUACAGAUGAGCGCUAAUACAGACCAGUUGCAGGAUUGGAUUGGUACUCUCACAUUGUUCCGAGGAAGAACUAAAUGGAAACGGGCCUUUGGCUCAAAGAAAGAAAUGACAAUAAUAAAUACCAUGUUUUCUUUUUAUAAAAUCACAAUAAAUAUGAAUAAAUUAACGCAUUGGACAUUACAUAAAUACAUAUCAUAUUGUUGCUGUCCAAUGGAAGCAUGUAUCGUCA